This 491-nucleotide ribosomal RNA is filed under the name uncultured bacterium. RNAcentral's name for it is "partial 16S ribosomal RNA". It matches the Rfam family "Bacterial small subunit ribosomal RNA", at positions 29 to 506 of the family's 1533-position model. The record is from RNAcentral.
AGUGAACGCUGGCGGUAGGCCUAACACAUGCAAGUCGAACGGCAGCACAGUAAGAGCUUGCUCUUACGGGUGGCGAGUGGCGGACGGGUGAGGAAUACAUCGGAAUCUACUUUUUCGUGGGGGAUAACGUAGGGAAACUUACGCUAAUACCGCAUACGACCUACGGGUGAAAGCAGGGGAUCUUCGGACCUUGCGCGAUUGAAUGAGCCGAUGUCGGAUUAGCUAGUUGGCGGGGUAAAGGCCCACCAAGGCGGCGAUCCGUAGCUGGUCUGAGAGGAUGAUCAGCCACACUGGAACUGAGACACGGUCCAGACUCCUACGGGAGGCAGCAGUGGGGAAUAUUGGACAAUGGGCGCAAGCCUGAUCCAGCCAUACCGCGUGGGUGAAGAAGGCCUUCGGGUUGUAAAGCCCUUUUGUUGGGAAAGAAAAGCAGCAGGUUAAUACCCCGCUGUUCUGACGGUACCCAAAGAAUAAGCACCGGCUAACUUCGU